GAUGAACGCUGGCGGCGUGCCUAAUACAUGCAAGUCGAGCGAACAGACGAGGAGCUUGCUCCUCCGACGUUAGCGGCGGACGGGUGAGUAACACGUGGAUAACCUACCUAUAAGACUGGGAUAACUUCGGGAAACCGGAGCUAAUACCGGAUAAUAUAUUGAACCGCAUGGUUCAAUAGUGAAAGACGGUUUUGCUGUCACUUAUAGAUGGUUCCGCGCCGCAUUAGCUAGUUGGUAAGGUAACGGCUUACCAAGGCGACGAUGCGUAGCCGACCUGAGAGGGUGAUCGGCCACACUGGAACUGAGACACGGUCCAGACUCCUACGGGAGGCAGCAGUAGGGAAUCUUGCGCAAUGGGCGAAAGCCUGACGGAGCAACGCCGCGUGAGUGAUGAAGGUCUUCGGAUCGUAAAACUCUGUUAUUAGGGAAGAAAAAAUGUGUAAGUAAAUAUGCACGUCUUGACGGUACCUAAUCAGAAAGCAACGGCUAACUACGUG
RNAcentral lists this ribosomal RNA (497 nucleotides) under uncultured bacterium. RNAcentral's name for it is "partial 16S ribosomal RNA". It matches the Rfam family "Bacterial small subunit ribosomal RNA", at positions 28 to 507 of the family's 1533-position model. The record is from RNAcentral.